This 1916-nucleotide ribosomal RNA is filed under the name Leptidea sinapis. Its description in RNAcentral is "SSU rRNA". It matches the Rfam family "Eukaryotic small subunit ribosomal RNA". The record is from RNAcentral. Lineage: Eukaryota; Metazoa; Arthropoda; Insecta; Lepidoptera; Pieridae.
CCCUGGUUGAUCCUGCCAGUAGUUAUAUGCUUGUCUCAAAGAUUAAGCCAUGCAUGUCUCAGUGCAAGCCGUAUUAAGGCGAUACCGCGAAUGGCUCAAUAUAUCAGUUUUGGUUCCUUAGAUCUUACUCAGUUACUUGGAUAACUGUGGUAAUUCUAGAGCUAAUACAUGCAACCAGAGCUCUGACCAGUGAUGAGAUGAGUGGUUUUAUUAGAUCAAAACCAAUCGACGGAGGGCCUCGCGUCCGAAGUCGUUAAUUUUGAUGAAUCUGGAUAACUUUUGCCGAUCGCAUGGUCCAGUACCGGCGACGCAUCUUUCAAAUGUCUGCCUUAUCAACUUUCGAUGGUAGUUUCUGCGACUACCAUGGUUGUCACGGGUAACGGGGAAUCAGGGUUCGAUUCCGGAGAGGGAGCCUGAGAAUCGGCUACCACAUCCAAGGAAGGCAGCAGGCGCGCAAAUUACCCACUCCCGGCACGGGGAGGUAGUGACGAAAAAUAACGAUACGGGACUCUUACGAGGCCUCGUAAUCGGAAUGAUAUACUCAUUCCGAUUACGAGGUUCCUUUAAAUAUUUUAACGAGGAACAAUUGGAGGGCAAGUCUGGUGCCAGCAGCCGCGGUAAUUCCAGCUCCAAUAGCGUAUACUAAAAUUGUUGCGGUUAAAAAGCUCGUAGUUGCAUUUGUGCGCCGCGCUGUCGGUGCAUCGCAUCCGCGGUGAUACUGACACGUCUGCGGAGCAUAUCGUCGGUGAGCCGGCGGUAAAACGCCGGUUCAAUAUCAAAAUCCUAUCGCGGUGCUUCUUCAGUGAGUGUCGAGAUGGGCCGACAAUUUUACUUUGAACAAAUUAGAGUGCUCAAAGCGGGCUCAAAAUGCCGCUUGAAUAUUUCGUGCAUGGAAUAAUAGAAUAUGAUCUCGGUUCUAUUUUGUUGGUUUUCAGAACUCCGAGGUAAUGAUUAAUAGGGAUAACUGGGGGCAUUCGUAUUGCGACGUUAUAGGUGAAAUUCUUGGAUCGUCGCAAGACGAACAUCAGCGAAAGCAUUUGCCAAAGGUGUUUUCAUCAAUCAAGAACGAAAGUUAGAGGUUCGAAGGCGAUUAGAUACCGCCCUAGUUCUAACCGUUAAUAUGUCAUCUAGCGAUCCGCCGACGUUACUACAAUGGCUCGGCGGGCAGCUUCCGGGAAACCAAAGAUUUUGGACUCCGGGGGGAGUAUGGUUGCAAAGCUGAAACUUAAAGGAAUUGACGGAAGGGCACCACCAGGAGUGGAGCCUGCGGCUUAAUUUGACUCAACACGGGAAAUCUCACCAGGCCCGGACACCGGAAGGAUUGACAGAUUAACAGCUCUUUUUGAUUCGGUGGGUGGUGGUGCAUGGCCGUUCUUAGUUGGUGGAGCGAUUUGUCUGGUUAAUUCCGGUAACGAACGAGACUCUAGCCUGCUAAAUAGGCGUCGUCAUUUAGGUGUGCGCGGCUUCAGGGUCGCGCAACUCACUGGCGGCGUAUUAAAAUUCUUCUUAGAGGGACCGGCGGCUUCGAGCCGCACGAGAUUGAGCAAUAACAGGUCUGUGAUGCCCUUAGAUGUCCUGGGCCGCACGCGCGCUACACUGAAGGAAUCAACAUGUUCUCCCUGGCCUAGAGGCCCGGGCAACCCGUUGAAACUCCUUCGUGCUGGGGAUUGGGGUUUGCAAUUAUCCCCCAUAAACGAGGAAUUCCUAGUAAGCGCGAGUCAUAAGCUCGCGUUGAUUACGUCCCUGCCCUUUGUACACACCGCCCGUCGCUACUACCGAUUGAAUGAUUUAGUGAGGUCUUCGGACCGACACGCGGUGGCUUCGCGGCCGUCGGCGUUGCUGGGAAGUUGACCAAACUUGAUCAUUUAGAGGAAGUAAAAGUCGUAACAAGGUUUCCGUAGGGGAACCUGCGGAAG